RNAcentral lists this ribosomal RNA (494 nucleotides) under uncultured bacterium. RNAcentral describes it as "partial 16S ribosomal RNA". It matches the Rfam family "Bacterial small subunit ribosomal RNA", at positions 28 to 507 of the family's 1533-position model. The record is from RNAcentral.
GACGAACGCUGGCGGCGUGCUUAACACAUGCAAGUCGAACGGAAAGGCCUGCUUUCCCUUGUGGAUUGCGGGUACUCGAGUGGCGAACGGGUGAGUAACACGUGAGUGAUCUGCCCCCAACUUGGGUAUACGCCUGGGAAACUGGGUCUAAUUCCCGAUAGGACUGCAGGGUGGUGCCUGUGGUGGAAAACGAUUUUCUAGUGGUUGGGGAUGAGCUCGCGGCCUAUCAGCUUGUUGGUGGGGUAAUGGCCUACCAAGGCGGCGACGGGUAGCCGGCCUGAGAGGGUGGACGGCCACAUUGGGACUGAGAUACGGCCCAGACUCCUACGGGAGGCAGCAGUGGGGAAUAUUGCACAAUGGGCGGAAGCCUGAUGCAGCGACGCCGCGUGGGGGAUGACGGCCUUCGGGUUGUAAACUCCUUUCGACCGCGAGGAAGCCACCUGGUUGGAAGGGUGGUGACGGUAGUGGUAGAAGAAGCACCGGCUAACUACGUG